UAAAAAUCCGAAGGAUAAAACCGAGCCGAAGGUAAAAAUCCGAGCUGAAAUUGACUUUCACUUGGAAGUGAUCAAAAUCAAAACCCAACCCAUUUUUCAAAUAGAAUUGGGUCUGGGGGGCAUUUGUUGGGGUGUUAAAAUGGGCUCACCAUUUUAACCCAAAAGCCAAUAAAACUCACUCAAGCCCAAUAUCACUUACAAGGCCUCAAAGGCCCAACAAGGCACUAUAUAUACCCCUCAAAGGGCAAGGUAAAGAGGGACAUUCUCUAACCCUAGAGAAGCCACCCUACUCUCUCUCCCCUAAAACACCUCAUUUUAUACAUCAAUGGUACUGACUUGAGCGUCGGAGGCUCCGCCUCGGGGACCCCCCCUUGGCCCGGAGUUCAUCUUUCAGGCACCGCACGAGACCGGAACUCAAGAUACCAAGGACGCUCCUACUAUCGUUUCAACCCCGGAACAGAUGUCACCGAUGAUGCUUCUCCUUCAAUUUUCAUACAUUCUUUUUCACAAAUUAAUAAAAACAAAUUUUUACUUUGUUUUAGUUUUCUGAUUAUGAUUUUUGAACAUGUACAGUAGAGAAAAGUGAAGGGAGUGAAGAAAUCUCUCGAUAUCUAUCCGUUGCCGCUGAGAUAGCUAUGGCGGAGAAGAAACCAAAAGAAGUCGGAACUCUAAAAUUUUAAUUUAGGAAAAGUUUACUGAGUACAUUUAUUUAGUUUGUUAAAUUAGGAAUUUAAUUUUGCAUUUCGUUUACUAGGUACGAAAUGCUAGAUGUAUGGGACAUAUUCCUAUAUGAAUUUUAUAGUUACCAAUCUUGUUGUUUAAUUAAUUCUUCUAUAAAACCAAGUUUAAUUUCAUAUUGUAUCAGUUUGUUCUUCCUUCCAAACGAUUGUACUCCGUAUAUUUUUAUUCUA
Long non-coding RNA from Spinacia oleracea (spinach), 911 nucleotides. RefSeq lists it as uncharacterized. Lineage: Eukaryota; Viridiplantae; Streptophyta; Magnoliopsida; Caryophyllales; Amaranthaceae. The transcript is spliced from 2 exons. The record is from RefSeq and is a predicted model, not a curated record.